This 438-nucleotide ribosomal RNA is filed under the name Aureobasidium pullulans. RNAcentral describes it as "eukaryotic LSU rRNA". It matches the Rfam family "Eukaryotic large subunit ribosomal RNA", at positions 130 to 573 of the family's 3401-position model. The record is from RNAcentral. Lineage: Eukaryota; Fungi; Ascomycota; Dothideomycetes; Dothideales; Saccotheciaceae.
CUUCGGGUUCGCAUUGUAAUUUGUAGAGGAUGAUUUGGGGAAGCCGCCUGUCUAAGUUCCUUGGAACAGGACGUCAUAGAGGGUGAGAAUCCCGUAUGUGACAGGAAAUGGCACCCUAUGUAAAUCUCCUUCGACGAGUCGAGUUGUUUGGGAAUGCAGCUCUAAAUGGGAGGUAAAUUUCUUCUAAAGCUAAAUAUUGGCGAGAGACCGAUAGCGCACAAGUAGAGUGAUCGAAAGAUGAAAAGCACUUUGGAAAGAGAGUUAAAAAGCACGUGAAAUUGUUGAAAGGGAAGCGCUUGCAAUCAGACUUGUUUAAACUGUUCGGCCGGUCUUCUGACCGGUUUACUCAGUUUGGACAGGCCAGCAUCAGUUUCGGCGGCCGGAUAAAGGCUCUGGGAAUGUGGCCUCCACUUCGGUGGAGGUGUUAUAGCCCCAGGG